Molecule: ribosomal RNA, 429 nt
Filed under: Fusobacteriota bacterium
Lineage: Bacteria; Fusobacteriati; Fusobacteriota
Description: Fusobacteria bacterium partial 16S ribosomal RNA
Rfam family: Bacterial small subunit ribosomal RNA
Source: RNAcentral
UGGGGAAUAUUGCGCAAUAGGCGAAAGCCUGACGCAGCGACGCCGCGUGAGGGAUGAAGGUUUUCGGAUCGUAAACCUCUGUCAGAAGGGAAGAAACCGCACUGUGCUAAUCAGCAGUGCCUUGACGGUACCUUCAAAGGAAGCACCGGCUAACUCCGUGCCAGCAGCCGCGGUAAUACGGAGGGUGCAAGCGUUAAUCGGAAUUACUGGGCGUAAAGCGCACGUAGGCUGCUUUGUAAGUCAGGGGUGAAAUCCCACGGCUCAACCGUGGAACUGCCUUUGAUACUGCUUAGCUUGAAUCCGGGAGAGGGUGGCGGAAUUCCAGGUGUAGGAGUGAAAUCCGUAGAUAUCUGGAGGAACAUCAGUGGCGAAGGCGGCCACCUGGACCGGUAUUGACGCUGAGGUGCGAAAGCGUGGGGAGCAAACAGG